GUUCCAACCGGGAAAAUCUGAACAUGUCUGGAAGAGACAUACUGUGAUCUCUGGCAGUCUACAAGCAGAGGCGACGUCUGUCGCUUCUGGGAAACACUCACCUGUGAGGGAGCUCCUGUCGACUCCGCUGAAACAAGGGGGGUCCCCUCCUCUUCGCUAGUGUCCGAGUCGCUGCCGAAAAUUUGACGCUCCAUCGGCUUCAGGCUUCUGAUGCUCGGUUCCUCGCUUGCCGAGUCGUACGACUCCUCACCUCGCUCCUCCCGUCGCUGCUCACUGAUCCCGGCGCCAUCCUCAACGCCUGAGGAGUCGGACCAGGGUGGCAGGAUCUCAUCGACGGCCUUCUCCAGCUGUCUGACUGCCUCCUCCGUCUCCUCUCCGGCUGCAACCUCUGGGCCACAGGGACUGAGCUGACUCCCCACCUGAGCGGGGGUCCCUGUGGAGCUGGCUGCAUCCCUCAUCAGUGCAGCUGCAGCAAAAGAGCUUCUUUGAGCUCUCCCACGGCCACUCCUGAUAGGCACCCGCUGCGGUUGUGGUCUCACUCCAGCCAUCACCUGCAGCUCUCUCACCUCGUCAUCACCUAACUCCUCUCUGCUCGGUGAUGACUCGGCUCCUCCUCGCCUCUCCUCUCGGUGCAUUCUCCUCGGGCUCCGUCUGUUGGACUGCUGUCUGUGAAGCGCUGGCGUCAGCUUGUGAUGGCUCCGGUCUGGAGGUCCUCAGCAGCGCCAGGACCUGUCUCUACUGCUCCUCGGCUUGAGACUUCCUCCGUGCCAGUGCCACGUUAAGCUCCGGGGGCAUUUGAAAAACGAGUGCCCUCGCUGCCCACAUAGACUGCACUCCGCAUCAUUGUUGAAGGCAUUAGCUUUGUGCCCCAGGCUGGCAAACUUCCAGCACUUUACCUCCCGGCACUCCCUGACCCGAGGAUCCGUGCUGUUGCAUAUGAAACAACGCAUCUCUUAGCCGGGAUACUGAAGACGGCCAGUUGUAAGGACCCAGGGACACGGAGGUGGACAAAGACAUGAGAUGACUGUUGGCAUCUCGCUUGAGCUCCACCUUGUAUUUGCGGAUGCUGUACCAUAUUCCAAACUGGUCUAAUGGUUUGUACGGUGUAGCAGGUUCAGAGAGCGCAGGGAGGCCACAGUUCGUCUUCCCGCACUGGGAGUGUCUUUAUUGCAAAAUCAAAACAAAACAGCGACUUCAAACUAAAAUGGAAAGUAAUGUCCAGGAGAGUCCUCGCGUUUGCGAUCCACGGCAUGCGAUCUCUGGCACGGAACGCGUUGGACCUCUCUCUCUCUUCUCCCCGGUUUCCCUACUAACCACAAAGCAGGCACAUAAAUACAAACACUCCCUGAUUGGCCUGAGUGCUGACACCUGCUCGCCCUCAGGUCCAACCCCCCCAGCCAAUCCGGUGCGCUCCCAACCUGCCCAUACUCCCCCUGCAGGCCAGACGUCACACGUCCCCCCACAUACGGCUUCUCCAGUAUGUUACAGUAUCGCUUCAGAUACAGCUCAACGUCGUGAUCUGACACACGGCCGGUCCAGAACUUAACCACGAGGUUAACUAUACCAAUACUGACUGAGGAGUCAAUGGACCAGAAUUUCCAUUUAUCCUGCUGACUCUCAGCAGCAUACUGCUCCAAGAAGCGACGGAGUGUAGCUUGCUGAUAGAAACAUAAUUCAAACUCGCGUCGGUUAGGCAGGGCGAUGAAUGAAUGAAUGAAUGUACGUCACGGGCACACAAAAGGUUGGAUUCAAACAAAAGUUCUUUACCAACAUACUCCCGUGAGGGUAGAUCUGCUUUGCCUGUAUAUUUCAACCUAGCCCAGUUGUCAGCAAACUGGGAUGCGAAAGAUGAUGCAAUAAAAGAUUUAGAGCACGAGACCAGAGGUCUCGUGCUCUAGACCUCCGAGGAAGACAAUCCUCCCUUGCUUUUUAGGCAAGGCAAGGCAACUUUAUUUAUAUAGCACUUUUCAUACACAAGGCAGACUCAAAGUGCUUCACAUGUU
Long non-coding RNA from Gadus morhua (Atlantic cod), 2003 nucleotides. RefSeq lists it as uncharacterized. The transcript has 3 exons. Lineage: Eukaryota; Metazoa; Chordata; Actinopteri; Gadiformes; Gadidae. The record is from RefSeq and is a predicted model, not a curated record.